AGAGGGGGCAAGGAAGGAAAACAAAGCUGCAAGCACUGAAGAAUAUUAACAAGAGAAUAAGGUUGCCAGAUUUAACAAAUAAAAAUAUAAAACGCCGGCCAGCUUUUCACUGUGCCCACUGGUCACCCCUUGCUGGGCCUCCAGGGGCCUCAGUAAGGCUGGCCGAGGUACCUGCUGCCCUGCCUGGAACCCACCUCCUUAAGAAUCCUGACUGCCCCACAGGAACCAUGGUGAGGACUUGCUUGCCAGCAGCCAUCAAGGGCUCCUCAGAGAAAUGGCUGAUUCUAGGACUGGGGCAAGAAAUAUACAAGAUAAAUCUACAUAAAGGAAGUACUAAAAAAAAAUCUCCAAAUCCUACAUUAAAGGGACACAGGAGCCAACUGGAAGAGCUCCCAACGGCCAAAGCCAGAACAACUUGAGAAACAAAAUAAAGUAGGGUCGAGUCAUGACCCAUAAUGACAUAGGUGUCCAUGAGUCAGUGCUGACAGAAAUCAGUGACUGAAUAAACUAAGUGGGAAAGAAGAGACAAAUCACCAUUGCAAAAGGAUUCCAAAUAAUUUAUGCAGAUACCCUGCCCUCAAGGAGGGGACCGUGACUCCCCCACUCCUUAGGUGUGGGCUCUGCACCAUC
Molecule: long non-coding RNA, 630 nt
Filed under: Homo sapiens (human)
Lineage: Eukaryota; Metazoa; Chordata; Mammalia; Primates; Hominidae
Description: HSALNT0372151
Source: RNAcentral